This 460-nucleotide ribosomal RNA is filed under the name uncultured bacterium. Its description in RNAcentral is "partial 16S ribosomal RNA". It matches the Rfam family "Bacterial small subunit ribosomal RNA", at positions 338 to 795 of the family's 1533-position model. The record is from RNAcentral.
CCUACGGGUGGCAGCAGUGAGGAAUAUUGGUCAAUGGACGCAAGUCUGAACCAGCCAUGCCGCGUGCAGGAAGACGGCUCUAUGAGUUGUCAACUGCUUUUGUACGAGGGUAAACGCAGAUACGCGUAUCUGUCUGAAAGUAUCGUACGAAUAAGGAUCGGCUAACUCCGUGCCAGCAGCCGCGGUAAUACGGAGGAUUCAAGCGUUAUCCGGAUUUAUUGGGUUUAAAGGGUGCGUAGGCGGUCGGAUAAGUUAGAGGUGAAAUCCCGAGGCUCAACUUCGGAAUUGCAUCUGCUAAGGUUCGGCGAGAGAGUAGGUGCGGUAGGCGGAAUGUAUGGUGUAGCGGUGAAAUGCUUAGAGAUCAUACAGAAGACCGAUGGAGAAGGCAGCUUAACAAGCUACUUCUGACGUUGAGGCACGAAAGCGUGGGGAGCAAACAGGAGUAGAUACCCCAGUAGUC